RNAcentral lists this long non-coding RNA (695 nucleotides) under Octopus sinensis (East Asian common octopus). RNAcentral's name for it is "uncharacterized LOC118764294, transcript variant X1". The record is from RNAcentral. Lineage: Eukaryota; Metazoa; Mollusca; Cephalopoda; Octopoda; Octopodidae.
UAACGGUAAGAAAAAAAGUAAUAACGUCAAUAUUAUUUAUAGAAAUAACAUAUAUGGAAAUAACAUAUAUGGAAAUAACAGCAAUAACCAAUAGUGGUAAUAACAGUAAUAACAGCGAUAGCAAUAGUUGUAAUAACAGUAAUGCCAACAAUAAUAUCCCAUAACAACUAUACUAAUACACACAGCAUAAAAACAACAAUAACUAAAAACAUUAUGUUAAUUAAUGACUCGGACAAUAGCCACGACGAUGACAACGGAAGAAUGCAUUGCACAAGGGAACCAGUUGUCUCAAUUCAGGUGUUGCUAUUGUAUGUUAGUUGGUUAAACAAGACAUUCCCAUAAUAUCCAGAUUUAUUUUUUCACCUCUCCAUUGACUCAGGGACAAAUGGAUGAUGAUUAUUUGCCAAUAAAUAACAACUGAAUACCAGUCUACAAUUGUCUGAUUAUCGAUACCAAGGUCGCCAUCUCCUGACAGAAGUACACGUAACAGAUCUAAAUGCAUCAGGAUCUAUUAUUUUGUCGAUUACUUCAUUCAACUCGAGAAAUAGUGACAGCAGUGGAUUUGCAGCUACGGUGAAAUUAAGAUCGACUGAUACAUCUAUCGCACAUAUCAAGAUACAGGACAUACUUGUUUUCUUCUGAUAAUACAGAAAAUAUUUGACUAGAGAGAAUAUCAAUUAUACAAACCACACAGU